GCGGGGCGGCCGGGCGCGCCGGGCGCCUGGUGCGCAUGCGCGGCCGACAGGUGGGCGUGCGCGGCGGGAGCGGGCCUGGUGGACUCCGAGCCCGCGCCCCUUCGCGGUGCGGGCCGGGGGGCCGCGCGCUGGGGGCCCCGGCCGCGGUCCCGGAAGGAGAAAGGGCGGGGGACGGGGGUGAUGAUGCCACAGCGCCCAGCCGGCCCGGGCCUCUCACCUGCUGGCGGGCCUCCGGGGUGCUGGGCGUGACUCGGGACGUCCGGAGCCGCGACCUGCGGUCGGCCCCGGGCGCCGAACCCCAAGGUCUCCCUGGGCCGGGGUCCCCCAAAUGAGCGCCGAGGGCCCGGGAGGAGCCUCCCCUGCUCGUGGUGAUAACAGUUCCGUGCAUUCAUUCAUUUAUUCACUGUUCAUCCCACAAACGUUGCCUGAGCGCCCACUCUGGGCCACGCCUAUUGCCAGGCAGUGGCGAAGACUCAAACGCACACGUAAAGCGCUUAGCAUUGGGGCCUGGCACCUGGUGAGCGCUCAGUCGGUGUUGCCCGGUACACACAUGCAGGCACGUACGCAGACAAAUCGACUUUGCGCGCACGGAUUCCAGAAACAGUGAGCCCCCUACCAGGCCACGCACUUAACCAUCUGGUUGGGCCUCCCUUUCUAGAGAGAGAGAGAGGAUCCCAAGCAGGCUGACACGGAGCGAGAGCCCACAAACCAUGCAAUCAUGACCUGAGCUGAAGUCACGAAUUGGACGCUCAGCUGACUGAGCCCCCCAGGGACACCUCAGUUUUCAUCCCUUAAU
This is a long non-coding RNA of Neofelis nebulosa (Clouded leopard), 796 nucleotides long. RefSeq lists it as uncharacterized. Lineage: Eukaryota; Metazoa; Chordata; Mammalia; Carnivora; Felidae. The record is from RefSeq and is a predicted model, not a curated record. The transcript has 2 exons.